This 492-nucleotide ribosomal RNA is filed under the name uncultured bacterium. RNAcentral's name for it is "partial 16S ribosomal RNA". It matches the Rfam family "Bacterial small subunit ribosomal RNA", at positions 29 to 507 of the family's 1533-position model. The record is from RNAcentral.
AGUGAACGCUGGCGGUAGGCCUAACACAUGCAAGUCGAACGGCAGCACAGUAAGAGCUUGCUCUUACGGGUGGCGAGUGGCGGACGGGUGAGGAAUACAUCGGAAUCUACUUUUUCGUGGGGGAUAACGUAGGGAAACUUACGCUAAUACCGCAUACGACCUACGGGUGAAAGCAGGGGAUCUUCGGACCCUGCGCGAUUGAAUGAGCCGAUGUCGGAUUAGCUAGUUGGCGGGGUAAAGGCCCACCAAGGCGACGAUCCGUAGCUGGUCUGAGAGGAUGAUCAGCCACACUGGAACUGAGACACGGUCCAGACUCCUACGGGAGGCAGCAGUGGGGAAUAUUGGACAAUGGGCGCAAGCCUGAUCCAGCCAUACCGCGUGGGUGAAGAAGGCCUUCGGGUUGUAAAGCCCUUUUGUUGGGGAAGAAAAGCAGCAGGUUAAUACCCCGCUGUUCUGACGGUACCCAAAGAAUAAGCACCGGCUAACUUCGUG